UCUGCAGAAGAGAAUAAUGGAGUGAUUAAUGCAGAAGAUGCGAAGACGGAAGAAGUAGAGAAGUUGGAUAGAAUGGAGGAAGAUUCCAAAGAUGAUGUUAAUCUGAACUCUACAGAAGUGCAGGCUGAGUCAAAAGUGAAAGAUAAGGAAGUAUCUGCACUGGUAGAUGUUGAAACGCCAGACGAGAUGGAAGAAGACAAUAGGAAGCGGCACCUGAAUGUGGUUUCUAUUGGCCAUGUUGAUGCUGGCAAGUCCACAAUUGGAGGUCAGAUACUUUUGCUCAGUGGUCAGGUUGAUGAUCGUACAAUCCAAAAAUAUGAGAAAGAAGCUAAAGAAAAGAGUAGAGAAAGCUGGUACAUGGCAUAUAUUAUGGAUACUAAUGAAGAGGAAAGGAUUAAGGGUAUAACAGUUGAAGUUGGAAGAGCACAUUUUGAAACAGAGACAACUAGAUUUACAAUUUUAGAUGCACCAGGUCACAAGAGUUAUGUUCCUAAUAUGAUUAGCGGAGCAUCUCAAGCUGAUAUUGGUAUAUUGGUGAUUGCUGCUCGGAAAGGAGAAUUUGAAACUGGGUAUGAGAGAGGUGGGCAGACCCGUGAGCAUGUUCAGCUGGCAAAGACAUUGGGGGUGUCUAAGCUUCUUGUUGUUGUAAAUAAAAUGGAUGAUCCCACUGUAAACUGGUCAAAGGAAAGGUAUGAUGAAAUUGAAACAAAGAUGAUACCAUUUCUGAGGUCUUCAGGCUACAAUGUGAAGAAAGAUGUCCAGUUCCUGCCACUAUCUGGUUUGCUUGGUGCAAACAUGAAAACCAGAGUGGAAAAAAGCGUGUGUCCAUGGUGGAAUGGCCCCUGUCUUUUCGAAGCUCUUGAUGCCAUUGAAGUUCCUCCGCGGGAUCCAAAAGGUCCUUUCAGGAUGCCUAUUAUUGACAAAUUUAAAGAUAUGGGAACUGUAGUCAUGGGCAAAGCAGAAUCUGGUACUGUGACUGAGGGUGAUUCCUUGCUGGUCAUGCCAAAUAAGACUCGGGUGAAAGUUGUUGCUGUAUAUUGUGAUGAAAACAAAGUUAGACGUGCAGGGCCUGGAGAAAAUCUUCGUGUUAGGUUAUCUGGAAUUGAUGACGAGGAUAUAUUGGCAGGUUUUGUCAUGUCUAGUGUUGCAAAGCCAAUAGCCUCGGUUACAGAAUUUGUUGCUCAGUUGCAGAUCCUCGAAUUGCUGGACAAUGCAAUUUUUACAGCUGGCUAUAAAGCUGUUUUGCAUAUUCAUUCUGUAGUUGAGGAAUGUGAGAUUGUUGAACUGCUAAAACAAAUUGAUCCGAAGACAAAGAAACCUAUGAAAAAGAAAGUUCUCUUUGUGAAGAAUGGUGCUGUUAUUGUGUGCCGCGUUCAGGUAAAUAACUUGAUAUGCAUAGAGAAGUUUGCAGAUUUUCCCCAACUCGGCAGGUUUACUCUUCGAACUGAGGGGAAAACAGUUGCAGUGGGGAAAGUCACUGAACUUCCUUCAGUUUCUAAUUAAACAAUUUUGGUGUUAUAGGUUUGAGUCAAAAGGAUUGCUCUCUCUCUCUCUCUCUCUCUCU
This 1564-nucleotide unclassified non-coding RNA is filed under the name Hevea brasiliensis (rubber tree). The record is from RNAcentral. Lineage: Eukaryota; Viridiplantae; Streptophyta; Magnoliopsida; Malpighiales; Euphorbiaceae.